GAGGAGUAGCGAAGUGGUUGAACGCGCCGGCCUGUCACGCCGGAGAUCGCGGGUUCAAAUCCCGUCUCCUCC
This 72-nucleotide transfer RNA is filed under the name marine eukaryotic metagenome. It matches the Rfam family "tRNA". From Rfam's summary of the family: Transfer RNA (tRNA) molecules are approximately 80 nucleotides in length. The record is from RNAcentral.